Molecule: ribosomal RNA, 729 nt
Filed under: uncultured bacterium
Lineage: Bacteria
Description: bacterial SSU rRNA
Rfam family: Bacterial small subunit ribosomal RNA
Source: RNAcentral
GAAUUCCUAGUGUAGAGGUGAAAUUCGUAGAUAUUAGGAGGAACACCAGUGGCGAAGGCGACUUUCUGGACUGUAACUGACGCCGAGGCACGAAAGUGUGGGGAGCGAACAGGAUUAGAUACCCUGGUAGUCCACACCGUAAACGAUGAAUACUAGGUGUCGGGGGUCGAACCUCGGUGCCGCAGCUAACGCAUUAAGUAUUCCGCCUGGGGAGUACGCACGCAAGUGUGAAACUCAAAGGAAUUGACGGGGACCCGCACAAGUAGCGGAGCAUGUGGUUUAAUUCGAAGCAACGCGAAGAACCUUACCAAGUCUUGACAUCCUUAUGCAAAUCUCUUAGCCGAGAUGUUCUCUUCGGAGACAUAAGUGACAGGUGGUGCAUGGUUGUCGUCAGCUCGUGUCGUGAGAUGUAGGGUUAAGUCCCGCAACGAGCGCAACCCUUAUGUUUAGUUGCCAUCAGUUAGGCUGGGCACUCUAGACAGACUGCCGUGGACAACACGGAGGAAGGUGGGGAUGACGUCAAAUCAUCAUGCCCCUUAUGAUUUGGGCUACACACGUGCUACAAUGGUCGGUACAACGGGCAGCGAAGGAGUGAUCUGGAGCGAAUCCUAAAAAGCCGAUCUCAGUUCGGAUUGUAGGCUGCAACUCGCCUACAUGAAGUUGAGUUACUAGUAAUCGUGGAUCAGAAUGCCGCGGUGAAUGCGUUCCCGGGCCUUGUACACACCGCCC